AUAGGCUGGUGGAAAGGCCAGGCGCAUUGACCUGGACAUUGAGUCUCCGAGUUUCCAACCCAGAUGUAGGUACCCCGAGCCGGCCCGCGAGAAGACCCGUGAGUGCCGCACCUGCUCAUGCAAAAUCCAUCAACAGCGACGUCCUUCGCCGUCAAAACAACGUUAAUGGAAUCGAUCGCGAAGUUUGUUUUCGAGGCCAAAGCAAGUAAAUGCGUAGUCUUAAGGACUUUUCCAAGAGUGUACUCUUCGUGUAGGAUUUGACGACCGACUCUAAGAGAGCAAGAACCACCACGGUACUUCUCGGUGGUCUUCCACCAAAAGGCGGCGGAGGGAAGUGGCGCUCUGUUGGAGUUCAAAGAGGUGAUGAAAUCAACGAUUAUGGAGCGUUGAAUAGGAGUAAACUUUCCGUACCAGACUAAAUUAACGGUGACGUUUCCCUUUAAGAGAACACCGUUGUGGUACUUGAGCACCAGGGGUUGCUCUUGAACUAAAGCAGCGAGCAGAGGGUGGAUAAAACAGAAGAGAAGAAUGGCAGAAUGGUAAAUAGAAGCCAUGGAUAAGAGCAGUCAGAGGAAGAAGUGAAAGAGAG
This 589-nucleotide unclassified non-coding RNA is filed under the name Hevea brasiliensis (rubber tree). Lineage: Eukaryota; Viridiplantae; Streptophyta; Magnoliopsida; Malpighiales; Euphorbiaceae. The record is from RNAcentral.